CCUACGGGGGGCAGCAGUGGGGAAUAUUGGACAAUGGGCGAAAGCCUGAUCCAGCCAUGCCGCGUGUGUGAAGAAGGCCUUCGGGUUGUAAAGCACUUUCAGUGGGGAAGAAAGCCUUGGGGCUAAUACCCUCGAGGAAGGACAUCACCCACAGAAGAAGCACCGGCUAACUCCGUGCCGGCAGCCGCGGUAAUACGGAGGGUGCGAGCGUUAAUCGGAAUUACUGGGCGUAAAGCGCGCGUAGGCGGUCUGAUAAGCCGGUUGUGAAAGCCCCGGGCUCAACCUGGGAACGGCAUCCGGAACUGUCAGGCUAGAGUGCAGGAGAGGAAAGUAGAAUUCCCGGUGUAGCAGUGAAAUGCGUAGAGAUCGGGAGAAAUACCAGUGGCGAAGGCGGCCUUCUGGACUGACACUGACGCUGAGGUGCGAAAGCGUGGAUAGCAAACAGGAUUAGAUACCCGGGUAGUC
This 465-nucleotide ribosomal RNA is filed under the name Vreelandella stevensii. RNAcentral's name for it is "partial 16S ribosomal RNA". It matches the Rfam family "Bacterial small subunit ribosomal RNA", at positions 338 to 795 of the family's 1533-position model. The record is from RNAcentral. Lineage: Bacteria; Pseudomonadati; Pseudomonadota; Gammaproteobacteria; Oceanospirillales; Halomonadaceae.